UAAGAAGAGCAGCGUUCUCAAAGCCGGAACGACGCCAAAGCCCAACGAACGACGUGCGUGCUCCGAUGUGCACGCAAUGGUGGGGGCAAAUCGUUCCAGCAUCGAGACGCUGCAAAUCUAAACGAUCCUCGAAAUGCCGCUGUACGAUGUCUCGGAGUGAGGAAGACGUGAGUAAUCACCCUUCUCUUAUGCUCACUGCGACAAGGUGCACGGACUAGCUUGUCCAAGAGAUAUUGCGGCCGUCCUGUAUUAAUGACGCCGAACAACAUUGUCGCCAAGUGCAACUUUCUACGGGCCUCCAUCUUCAUCUGAUUGGCUGCAUUGAGGAAUGGCGUAACAUGAGACCGUGGCGGGACAUGGAAGCAGAAGCGAGCACAUGCAUUUUGAACCCGCUGCAACAACUUCGCUGAACUUGCUAACAGACAGGGCCCAUAAACUGUGUCACAAUAGUUUAGCUUAGACAAUACAAGAGCCUCACAAAGAGUUA
Ostrinia nubilalis (European corn borer) is the source of this 487-nucleotide long non-coding RNA. RefSeq lists it as uncharacterized. The transcript has 2 exons. Lineage: Eukaryota; Metazoa; Arthropoda; Insecta; Lepidoptera; Crambidae. The record is from RefSeq and is a predicted model, not a curated record.